Molecule: long non-coding RNA, 436 nt
Organism: Notothenia coriiceps (black rockcod)
Lineage: Eukaryota; Metazoa; Chordata; Actinopteri; Perciformes; Nototheniidae
Exons: 4
Source: RefSeq, a predicted model, not a curated record
CCUGAACUCCCACAUGGUGACCGCUCAGCAGAGGCUCUCCACCAGAUGAAGGUUCUUUAAAAAAUAAAUCUAGAAAAGGUCAGACAUGCCAUAAACUUCUGGCGAGAGGCGCUGCGUGCAAAGAAGAACUCAUGGGACACUCCUGCCAGUAUGGAGCCCAUCACCGGGCCAAGCCAAUAAACCUGCAGUGGUUUUCCCAUUUACCCGUGAUGAUGGCUGGACCCAGAGAGCGUGCAGGGUUCAUACUGGCACCGGAGAAGCGCCCCUGACAGCAAAACAGCACAAAUGAAGUCAAGAGUUAUUUAAGUGCAUCUCAAGGAAACUACAGAGGUCUGACAAAAGCUUUUCUUACCGCUAUUAGCACUCCAGCAGUGUGGGCUAAUCCUAUGGCGAGGUUUCCUGGUUCUGUGCUUUCCCUCCGUCGCUGAUCCUCCAC